GAUGAACGCUGGCGGCGUGCCUAAUACAUGCAAGUCGAGCGAACAGAUGAGGAGCUUGCUCCUCUGACGUUAGCGGCGGACGGGUGAGUAACACGUGGAUAACCUACCUAUAAGACUGGGAUAACUUCGGGAAACCGGAGCUAAUACCGGAUAAUCUAUUGAACCGCAUGGUUCAAUAGUGAAAGACGGUUUUGCUGUCACUUAUAGAUGGAUCCGCGCCGCAUUAGCUAGUUGGUAAGGUAACGGCUUACCAAGGCAACGAUGCGUAGCCGACCUGAGAGGGUGGUCGGCCACACUGGAACUGAGACACGGUCCAAACUCCUACGGGAGGCAGCAGUAGGGAAUCUUCCGCAAUGGGCGAAAGCCUGACGGAGCAACGCCGCGUGAGUGAUGAAGGUCUUCGGAUCGUAAAACUCUGUUAUUAGGGAAGAACAAAUGUGUAAGUAAAUAUGCACGUCUUGACGGUACCUAAUCAGAAAGCCACGGCUAACUACGUG
This 497-nucleotide ribosomal RNA is filed under the name uncultured bacterium. Its description in RNAcentral is "partial 16S ribosomal RNA". It matches the Rfam family "Bacterial small subunit ribosomal RNA", at positions 28 to 507 of the family's 1533-position model. The record is from RNAcentral.